Molecule: long non-coding RNA, 1359 nt
Filed under: Ricinus communis (castor bean)
Lineage: Eukaryota; Viridiplantae; Streptophyta; Magnoliopsida; Malpighiales; Euphorbiaceae
Description: long non-coding RNA (RCOM_LNC000809)
Source: RNAcentral
CCUCUGCAAUAGCAGCAUGAAAAAAAACUCUAUCUCUAGAAGAGGAAUGAUGAUAAGUUGAGUCUGAUCCAUAACUGCAAAAUAAACAAACAGGUGCACACGUUUUAACUAUUUAAAUUAUUAAAAAUUUUAAGGGUAAAAGCCUGAUUGUAUAAGUGUGGGAACUAAGCAUGUUAUGAUUUAAAUAUUUUAUUGGCCAUAGAAAUAUAUAGUUUCUUAAGAGAUACCAAUAAAAUAUUUCAAGUGGAGCCCCAAGUAGCUCUCUAAGUUAGAAAUGCUCUUAGGGACCCAAUAAUACUUUAAAAUAUUUUAAGUCAGAAACCUCAAGUAGUUCCCUAACUUAGAAUUGUUCUUAAGGAACUGAUAGUAUUUUGAUAUGAGAUUCUCAAGUAAAACUAGUUCUUAGCGCUUUAAUUUUGUUUACCGAAUUCCUAAAUUAACUGAUAAUAUUUUAUUUCGAAAACCCCAAGUUAAAAAUAUUCUUAAGGAUCUAAAUAAUAUUUUAAAAUAUUCAAUUUGAGAGCUCUAAAUGGGAAAUGUUCUUAGGAAUCCAGGUAAUAUUUUAAAAAAAUGGUUUGAGAUCCCAAGUAAAUUGGGUACUUGGAGAUCUAGAGUCCCAAGUUGAAAAUGUUCUUGAAAAUCUAACCCAAAAAAAAUAAUUUUGAGAUCCCUAAGUAGGUUAGGUACUCGGAGAUCUAGAGCCCCAAGUUGGAAUGUUCUUGGAGAUCCCACCCAAAAAAUAAAAGUUCGAAAUCCUCAAGUAAAUUAGGUACUUGGAGAUCGAAAGCACUAAGUUGGAAAUGUUAUUAUGGAUCCAACCCAGAAAAAAAAAAUUAACUUUUUUAUACAUAUCAGGCUACAUCCUAAAAAAUUUUCUAGCAAUUUAAAUAUAAUUAUGCACAAUUGCCCAACAAAUAAACAUACAAAAAUUAGAUUUUGGGUAAAAAGAAUACCUUUUUAGCCUUUUUCUUUGAUAAACUUAGAAAGGUUUUUCUUUUAUAAGUGGGUAUACUUUCCAUUACCAAGAAUUUAUGCAGAUAGAAUCUCACCAAUUAACUCAAAGAGUUACGUACAAAGGAGAUAGAUUUCAAUUUGAACUAAACCAAUCGGCUUUCGGUUGAAGCAGUAAGCGGUGAGGAUUGAUCGAUUAGUGAAGGAAGAUUGUUAAUCCAGUGCCAGCAUCGUUGAACGAAGAAGAUGUAGUAGUAGGAGAACAAGCGGGGACAGUAUGAUGGUUGUCCUCCUCGACAGCAUGCUACGACAGGCGAGGAGAGCGAGCUGCUGUCUUUUCUGGUGCAAGAUGGCUGUGAUGAAGAGUAGAAAGAGAAAUCCAAGAAAAACAAGGUGGGUCAUUAAUAG